This 404-nucleotide ribosomal RNA is filed under the name uncultured bacterium. RNAcentral describes it as "bacterial SSU rRNA". It matches the Rfam family "Bacterial small subunit ribosomal RNA", at positions 355 to 776 of the family's 1533-position model. The record is from RNAcentral.
UGGGGAAUAUUGGACAAUGGGGGCAACCCUGAUCCAGCAAUGCCGCGUGUGUGAAGAAGGCCUUAGGGUUGUAAAGCACUUUCACCCGUGAAGAUGAUGACGGUAGCGGGAGAAGAAGCUCCGGCUAACUCCGUGCCAGCAGCCGCGGUAAUACGGAGGGGGCUAGCGUUGCUCGGAAUUACUGGGCGUAAAGCGCACGUAGGCGGCUAAUCCAGUUAGGCGUGAAAGGCCUGGGCUUAACCUAGGAACUGCGCUUAAUACUGAUUGGCUAGAAUCCGAGAGAGGGUAGUGGAAUUCCCAGUGUAGAGGUGAAAUUCGUAGAUAUUGGGAAGAACACCAGUGGCGAAGGCGGCUACCUGGCUCGGUAUUGACGCUGAGGUGCGAAAGCGUGGGGAGCGAACAGG